UGGUUAUUGCCUUUUGUUUGCUGACACAAAUUGUGAAUCAGUAGUAAAGUAAUGAAACUCAAACAAUUUUCACCUGCAACAAACUGUAGAUCUAAAAUUGUUUUAAGCCAAAUAUUCUCAAAUUAUUGACUGUUUUUCUUGUCAUUAUCACCCAAAGGGUAGACCAUAACAGCUGCAUACAUAGCAUUUCUAUGGCAUCACAUGAGUAACCCAUGUGUGAUUUAAGGUAGUAUGUGGUGGAUAUUAGUAGGUUAUUGGUAAAUAAUACACAUACACACUGUGAGGGACUGAGCUUUUACAGUCUGGGUAUCCUCCUGAGGUGCCCACAAACAAUUGCCAAUGAAUGCCAAGGGACAACUGUACAUGUGUUUAUAUUUAGCAUUUUAUUUGGACUCUGUAGACGUCUUCCUAAGAAUCGCACUUACCACAUAGUACAAUAAUUAAUUUUCGAUUUUUUUAUUAGUGCAUCAGGAAGGGCCUGCUCAGAGCCCCGCCCCGCUCCGCCCCGCCCCGCCUGUCACCAGCUGUGGAUCAACCACCGUGUCCAGGGCCGCCUGGGUGUCCAGGGCCGCCUGGGUGUCCAGGGCCGCCUGGGUGUCCAGGCCAGCGCCACGCCAUGCUGACUCUCCUGCUGAUCCUCUCGGGCCUGGGCCGUCUGGCCGCCUCCUUCCGCUCGCGUAAGGAGGAUACUGAGCACUGGAGGCGCCGCCCCUGCCGGCUGUGCAGCCUCGGGCGUGGCGGGAGACCUGGGCGGGAUGCGGAUUGGGCUCCGACAGCUCCUACGGGACCCGGGUCGGCCCGCCGCCCCGCCCCGCGGAAAGAAAGGCGCCCCCGGGCGGCGCAGCCCGCUCCACUCUCGGCCCACGCCGCAGCCAGCAACGCGGGGUCCUCGCCCCAGAGCCGCCGGGGGCCGAAGCGCGCGCGGGAUGCAGGGGCUUGGAGGAGUGAGGAGGAGCAGAGGUGCGGGACGGGUGGAGACCGAGGACGCCGCCCACGGGGAAGCUCAUGGGUGUUUCCUCGCUGCAGAUUCUGAGAAACUGCAAAUGACGGUGCCAGACAGGGUGGUGAGUGAUGAGGAUUUCGACGCGCAGGCAGAGCAGGUACUGAGUGUCAAGAAUUUAAGCGACCUCCUGUCUACUGCAGCUUAUGGCUCAAGUAUGCAUACAACAAUAUGA
Molecule: long non-coding RNA, 1175 nt
Filed under: Chinchilla lanigera (long-tailed chinchilla)
Lineage: Eukaryota; Metazoa; Chordata; Mammalia; Rodentia; Chinchillidae
Description: lncRNA (ENSCLAG00000027995.1)
Source: RNAcentral